Small nucleolar RNA from Ochotona princeps (American pika), 81 nucleotides. Its record names the gene SNORD115. It matches the Rfam family "Small nucleolar RNA SNORD115". Rfam says of the family: HBII-52 is a member of the C/D class of snoRNAs, which contain the C (UGAUGA) and D (CUGA) box motifs. HBII-52 is encoded in a tandemly repeated array with another C/D snoRNA, HBII-85, in the Prader-Willi syndrome (PWS) region of chromosome 15. NCBI's taxonomy places the organism in Eukaryota, Metazoa, Chordata, Mammalia, Lagomorpha, Ochotonidae. The record is from Ensembl.
GGGUCAAUGAGAAGAACUCAUGCUGUCUCAAAGAGAGAUGAUGACUUAAAAAUCAUGUUCAGUAGGAUUACACUGAGGCCC